GCGGCCUCUGGGCCGGAGCCCGGGUCCCCGCCCGCCCCAGCGCCCGCCGCCGGCCGAGCCCCGCCCCCCGCGUCUCCAUCGUGGGUCGCGGUGGUCGGAUGUGCGCCGGGGUCCGCGGGACAGGCGGGCGCAGAGGUCCCUUGUGUUGGCGGGGGGUGGGUGCGGCGAGGUUCCGGCCCCUCCGCGUAGCAUCGUGGGUCUGAGGCUGGGGGCGCCGCGAAUUGCUAUGCUCUCCGCAUUUUCCCGGCUCUGAAGCUUCGAGAACACGGCCACGCAGCAGUAGUUUAAUGGGGAGUUUGCCUGCUGGGAACUAGGGGCGUGCUGAGGUCUCAGUUCUCGGCUGGCCCUGGAACACGAGGUUGCCAGGUGGGUGACGGCAGCAGGUAGGAGUGACCCGCUGGUGCAGUGAUGAGCAGGAAAGGUAAGUGGGUUUCAGUAAGGCUGACUUGCUGAAGAUUUGUCACAUUGGAUUAAAAAAGGGUGGCACUAAAAUUUUCCUUUCUGGCGUGAGCUCAGUAAUACCACCUAACUAUCUGAAAUAAUUUGACUUAUUUUAGGUGGAUUCACGGGUAGUUACUGUCUGUUAAAAGAAAUUUUAUGAUGGGUUGUGCAGGCAGAAAGCCUAGAAAUAAAAUUGCCAGGUUUAAAUGUUACAGAGACAAUUUCGAAGGCCAGCUGUGCUACCUUACGUGAGGUUUUUCUAAAUUCUAGAGAAGUGUUUCUUGUGUUGCCUUGUUCAGUGUACUUCUUUGAUCCGCUGAUCAAUCUGGGACCUCACUGGUAGCUCCCUGGGAGAGGGUACAGAGAUGUCUAACGAGGGCCCUCCCGGCUGCACUGUGAUCCCCCGGGUUUGUCAAACACCAGCCUACCGCCAGGUGCCCGUAUAGGCAGAGCCCUUUUUCAUUUUUGCCUCGGGCUGCCCACUGCGGGUCGGAAAGGUGACAGUGGAGAGGUGAAGGGUUCAUAUGUCAGUAGCAGCCUUCACUAGUGCUUUUUUAUGUAUAAAUUUACUUUAUUUAUUUUUGGCUGCGUUGGGUCUUCGUUGCUGCACAUGGGCUUUCUCUAGGUGCGGCGAGCGGGGGCUCCCCUUCCCUGGAGCACGGGCUUCAGUAGUUGUGGCGCACGGGCUUAGUCGCUCCGCGGCAUGUGGGAUCUUCCCGGACCAGGGCUCAAACCCGUGUCCCCUGCGUUGGCAGGCGGAUUCUUAACCAGUGCACCACCAGGGAAGUCCAGCCUUCGUUAGUUUUAAAUACUGGCAACAGUAAUAACGGCAGCCAGCUUUUCUUGCACUCUGAUUCUGGGCCAACCGCUCGUGUUGUUCGGUACGGGAAGGACAGUGGCUGUUGGCCUGUGAACCUAGGCAAGAAUGACCAGCCGACACAGUCCAGACCGAGGUGAGAGGCGGUGCUGCUCUGGGCUCCUCCUGGAGGCCUGCUGGGCGGGCGCGGGGGGACACUGCCCUGCAGAUGCCGGACUUGCCGGCACCACGGGUGCGGCUGCCCUGCUGCACCUGUGACGCUGGGGCGGAGAGGAAGCGGCUAUUUCUACGCUCAGCGCUCAGAACCGUGGGCACUAAGAAUGGUUUGUAGCCGGACAUCACCAAAAGCUGCGUGAGGGGCAUCUUGUUUGCCGCGCACUUCGCAGCGUGAGCUGUGCGCAGGCCCUUGAAGGCUUGGGUGUUCUUUUUCUUUAUAAAAUCAAGCUCGUCGUGAGAAUUAGGUGAGAUGUGUACAGGCAUGUGGCAAGCUCUGGGCACGAUGCGAUUGGCCGGGAGGGACUCCUUACUGGAAAUGAUCGUUCUGUUGGUCUGUCUGGCGAGGAGCUUUUAGGAAUCCUUGGGCAGGUUUGACCUGCGUCCCUGGCUGAGGGCCGCUGAGCCGGUAUCCAGGCCCUGUGGGGCUUCCGGGCCCUGCUCAGAGUAGGACCCUAGGUGGGGACGAGGGGGGCCCAGAGCCACUGGUCCACGAGCGCUCGUACUCUGAGGACCUUGAGACGAGUCACUCUGGAAGGAAGGCCAGAGGUUCUCUCCUGGCUUUUGUCCUGUUGGUGAGGCGGAAGCCUGGCCCCUUUGUGGAGCCCCUCGACGGGCUGACCGUAACCCUAUGAAAAAUGAUCAUCCAAACCAGGGGUGUCUUGGUCUCCUUGCGGAAGGAGAGUGCAUUUUGCUGUUUCCUGAAACGUUAAGCUGGAGGGCUGAACAAAAGCUGUAAGUUAGUGGCUCUCGACAGGGGGCGGUUUGUCCCCCUCCCAGGGUACGUGGCAACUUGCAGGGCAGGAAAGGGAUGGGCUGCUGCUGGCGUCUAGUUGGUGGGGGCCAGGGCUGUGGCUGCAUGUCCUGUGGUGCCCAGGACGGCCCCACAGUAAGGCUACAGGUCCCGAAUGCUGAUAGGGCCAAGGUUGACAAACCCUGCUAUAGAAAAUAAUUCGGGAGGGAUUCACGGAUUGGAUUCCAUUUCUCAGGUCCGUGGGCCCAGCUCGGUCCUGUGCGGCUGGUCAGUGGAAUAGACCUGCAAGUGUGGCUCUUGUCACUCUAGGCCUGGCUUCAGGACAGAAGCCAGUUGCUCUGCUAAGGAGGCUUGACCGUGGUCCAGUCCAUCCAGCACGGGGAGGCGCGGCUAGUGGGUCAUCUCGGUUUUCUGUCUGCAGAUCCUGCUGGCGAGCCCAGGGCACCGUCCUCAGUUCUCCGGGAGAGAGUGCCCGACUCAGCCCGGUGGCCACGCACAUCCAGCCUGCCGGCAAGGGCAGUGGGGAGCCGGGGCAAGUCAUGGCCUUCGGAAUGUCCUCUGAUGAGAAAGAACCUGCCGGCUUAUAGAAUAACUUGGGUGGGGAACGUUGGUGUGCUGAAAAGCAGUUCUGUGUGCUUCCCCCCUUGGCGUGGAUCAGCAGUGCUGAGGCAGCGGGCGUGAUACAGAAGUGUGAGCAGAGACCGUCUGGAAGCCCCGGACUCCAGGGAAACUAAAGGUGACAGCCGGCCUAGUGAAGAGGGGCGGGGGCGGCAGCCCAGCAGGAGCCCCUGUCUCAGGGCCCUCGUCCUGGCUCCAGCUGGCUGGUCAGGGGAGCUGCAAGGUCUCCUGGUCGAGCGGAGCCCCCAGUCCUGAGCUGCUCUUCGCUGUGUUUGGGUCAUCUCCCCCCCAUCCAAGGGGAGAAAUCUAGAUGAGAUUUCAGAAUCAGCGCUUUCAGAAUGUGGAUCUCAUACCUGAAAGCUCGGAGGACGUGUUUUCAGCCCAGGGUGUGGAAGGGAACGGAGGAGUCAACCCCUUUCGAGGAGGUGCCUCCGCGUGGGCAGAACUAGAGAAUAAAUGGGCCUUGAAUAAGCCAUCUUGACUUGCGUUUCUCUGUCUGAUCCGCUGACGCCCCAGCAGGAGUUGAGGGUGUGAGAGGGUCAGGCUCCUGGGCUCACAGCUUCCUGUUCAGGGGGAGGAGGGGACCCUUGGCUUUUUCCCGGACGGUGGA
Molecule: long non-coding RNA, 3453 nt
Organism: Physeter macrocephalus (sperm whale)
Lineage: Eukaryota; Metazoa; Chordata; Mammalia; Artiodactyla; Physeteridae
Exons: 4
Source: RefSeq, a predicted model, not a curated record